CCUACGGGUGGCAGCAGUGGGGAAUAUUGCACAAUGGGGGAAACCCUGAUGCAGCGACGCCGCGUGAGUGAAGACGUAAUUCGUUAUGUAAAGCUCUAUCAGCAGGGAAGAAAAUGACGGUACCUGAGUAUGAAUCCCCGGCUAACUACGUGCCAGCAGCCGCGGUAAUACGGAGGUGGCCAGCGUUAUCCGGAUUUACUGGGUGUAAAGGGGGCGUAGACUGCAGUGGAAGUCUGGAGUGAAAGGCGGGGGCUCAACCCCCGGACUGCUCUGGAAACUGUCCGGCUGGAGUGCAGGAGAGGUAAGUGGAAUUCCUGGUGUAGCGGUGAAAUGCGUAGAGAUUAGGAAGAACACCAGUGGCGAAGGCGGCUUACUGGACUGUAACUGACGUUGAGGCUCGAAAGCGUGGGGAGCAAACAGGAUUAGAUACCCCGGUAGUC
RNAcentral lists this ribosomal RNA (440 nucleotides) under uncultured bacterium. RNAcentral's name for it is "partial 16S ribosomal RNA". It matches the Rfam family "Bacterial small subunit ribosomal RNA", at positions 338 to 795 of the family's 1533-position model. The record is from RNAcentral.